Molecule: ribosomal RNA, 446 nt
Filed under: uncultured bacterium
Lineage: Bacteria
Description: partial 16S ribosomal RNA
Rfam family: Bacterial small subunit ribosomal RNA
Source: RNAcentral
CCUACGGGUGGCAGCAGUCGAGAAUCAUUCACAAUGGGGGAAACCCUGAUGGUGCGACGCCGCGUGGGGGAAUGAAGGUCUUCGGAUUGUAAACCCCUGUCAUGUGGGAGCAAAUUAAAAAGAUAGUACCACAAGAGGAAGAGACGGCUAACUCUGUGCCAGCAGCCGCGGUAAUACAGAGGUCUCAAGCGUUGUUCGGAAUCACUGGGCGUAAAGCGUGCGUAGGCUGUUUCGUAAGUCGUGUGUGAAAGGCGCGGGCUAAACCCGCGGACGGCAGAUGAUACUGCGAGACUAGAGUAGUGGAGGGGGAACCGGAAUUCUCGGUGUAGCAGUGAAAUGCGUAGAUAUCGAGAGGAACACUCGUGGCGAAGGCGGGUUCCUGGACAUUAACUGACGCUGAGGCACGAAGGCCAGGGGAGCGAAAGGGAUUAGAUACCCUAGUAGUC